UCGUUACUAAUUAUCCCGUCUUUGUAUUUUUUGUAUAUUAGGUAUCUAGUUUUCAAGGUUUGAUUCCGUUCAUUCCGUCUAAAAUAGCUACUUUUUCCGUUAAAUAAUAAUGAAAAGAACAAAAUACCUUUAAUAAAAUAAAAUUCUCUAUCUUCUCUCCUUCUCUUUUUGCUUUUGUAAACCUCUUGAAUCUCUUCGACCCUCCUCUUCCUUCUCCUUUUCAUCUCCAUCACCAACCGUUUCUUCGUGCUCCACCACCACUAUAGCAGCAAUCACAAAAGGCUUGUGUCUCUAGAUCACUUACUGAACUCAAAAGCUUCUCUCAUCUUCUUCACCAUAUCUUAUCUUUUGCAAAGCUGCAUGGUUGUUGGUUUUGAGAUUAGCCAUUUCAAAAUUGAAGGUGUUUAUGAAUAUGUUGUUGAUUUUGAGAUCGAGUGUUGAUUUUCAAAAUGGUUGUUGAUUUUGAGAUCGGGUAUUUCAAAACAAGAAAAUUAUGUUAAUUGCCUCUUAAUCCGUUCUUUCCAUUCUCAUGACAACCACUUUCUUCUUUUUCUUCUCUGCAGUAGUCGAAAUUUUUCCUCAGUUUUCUACUCUUUCAUCUUUCCAUCUUCCCAACAAACUCAAUUGUUUCCUUAUGCGUAACUCUCUCUUUCCUUGGGUUUUAUUUAUUUUAUUUUAAUUUUCUGUUAUUUCUUUAAUUUUAUUUUGCAUUAUUAUUGUGUUAAGUUGUUUGCCAAUUUCUCUCUCUUUUGGAUGCUGUUUACUUUUAUUUCUCAUAGUUUGUAAGAGUAUGAAAAUCAUGUAACUAUGCUAUUUUAUGUUGUUUGAUGAUAAAUACUUGUUUGGUUUUCUAAAGGUGAAAAUGGACUGUGAUAAAAUUUAUCAAGUGCUAAUUUGAGAAGAUUUUCCAUUUCUUUCACAAACUCUAGCUUCAAAAAAAAUUUACUUUGUGAUGAUGGUGCUCUUUUGUUGGUAGUGGUGGUGAAUACUCUAUUUGUGGUUGUCAGUGAUAAUAAGUUCAUGUGAAAUGAUUUUUCCAGAUUUUGUUAAGGGUGCAUUUGUCAUUUUAAAAUAUUUAUCUCUCUGUCUUUCUUACUUUUUAGUCUCAUUUAAUUGGAAAAAGAGAUGAUUUCAAAUGGAAAGACCAUUUAAUGAAACGGAACUAGAUCUCGAGGACUAAUACCUAAUAGACAAAAAUAUGAGGACCAAAUAAUUAAUUUUAUAAAAUCUCAGGACGAAAUAAUUAUUUUUUCUUAUUUUUAACAUUACCUUCCUCUACCAUCAAAGCAAACAAAAGAAUGCGAUUAAACAUUCA
This 1315-nucleotide long non-coding RNA is filed under the name Jatropha curcas. Its description in RNAcentral is "long non-coding RNA (JCUR_LNC002216)". Lineage: Eukaryota; Viridiplantae; Streptophyta; Magnoliopsida; Malpighiales; Euphorbiaceae. The record is from RNAcentral.